AGAACGAACGCUGGCGGCAGGCUUAACACAUGCAAGUCGAACGCUCAUAGCAAUAUGGGAGUGGCGCACGGGUGAGUAACGCGCGGGAAUAUGCCCUUUAGUUCGGGAUAGCCACUGGAAACGGUGGCUAAUACCGAAUACGCCCUACGGGGGAAAGAUUUAUCGCUAAAGGAUUAGCCCGCGUCAGAUUAGCUAGUUGGUGGGGUAAUGGCCUACCAAGGCUCCGAUCUGUAGCUGGUCUGAGAGGACGAUCAGCCACACUGGAACUGAGACACGGUCCAGACUCCUACGGGAGGCAGCAGUGGGGAAUAUUGGACAAUGGGGGAAACCCUGAUCCAGCCAUGCCGCGUGUGUGAUGAAGGCCUUAGGGUUGUAAAGCACUUUUGUCAGGGAAGAUGAUGACGGUACCUGAAGAAUAAGCACCGGCUAACUUCGCGCCAGCAGCCGC
This 448-nucleotide ribosomal RNA is filed under the name uncultured bacterium. RNAcentral's name for it is "SSU rRNA". It matches the Rfam family "Bacterial small subunit ribosomal RNA", at positions 26 to 518 of the family's 1533-position model. The record is from RNAcentral.